Molecule: ribosomal RNA, 492 nt
Filed under: uncultured bacterium
Lineage: Bacteria
Description: bacterial SSU rRNA
Rfam family: Bacterial small subunit ribosomal RNA
Source: RNAcentral
GACGAACGCUGGCGGCGUGCCUAACACAUGCAAGUCGAGCGGUCCGGCAUUUAACAUUGAGUAUUCAGAUGAAUCUGAGUAUUGAAUGUUAAAUGUCGGAUAGCGGCGGACGGGUGAGUAACGCGUGGGUAACCUGCCUUAUACAGGGGGAUAACACAGGGAAACUUGUGCUAAUACCGCAUAAUAUCAUUGUAUGGCAUCAUGUGAUGAUCAAAGGAGCAAUCCGGUAUAAGAUGGACCCGCGUCCAAUUAGCUAGUUGGUGGUGUAACGGACCACCAAGGCGACGAUUGGUAGCCGAACUGAGAGGUUGAUCGGCCACAUUGGGACUGAGACACGGCCCAGACUCCUACGGGAGGCAGCAGUGGGGAAUAUUGCACAAUGGGGGAAACCCUGAUGCAGCAACGCCGCGUGAAGGAUGAAGGUUUUCGGAUCGUAAACUUCUUUGAUGAGGGACGAAAAAUGACGGUACCUCAAGAACAAGCCACGGCUAA